AAAAAAGGGGCUCGAUAUUAAAUCGAGAAAAGUAUGAUUUUUUUAUAAGUUUAAAAAUGGUUUUGCAUGCAUGAUGAACUUAAUAGACAACAAAUCUGUGAUAAUGAAACUAUGAAAAAUAAUGAAGCAUAAACAUAACAAAAAAAGAUAUUAACAAAAUACUAAAAUAAAAAAUGUUAAAAGAAGAUAAAAAAUAAAAUAAGAAACAAAAAGUACUACACAUGAGUAUUGAACCCUCUCCACUUAAUAUUAUAAAACUAACUUCUCUCCACUAGGCCAUUUAUCACUAGUUAUCAUCUUAAUGCUAUUUUAAAUAUAUGAACCAAAAUAGAUUAAACAUUAGAAUAAAAACUAAAAUAAAAAAAAGAGUCUGUUGGACUACCGGUAGUUAAACCCAGCCGCCUGGCUGUUGGGUUUUUCAAGGGAAUAUGAAUCGGAAAAAGGAAAUAUUUAUUAACUACUUAGGAAUUUUAAACGUGUUUUUUAAUGUUUUCCCAAAGUCUAUUAUGCUAGCAAAAU
RNAcentral lists this long non-coding RNA (519 nucleotides) under Lathyrus oleraceus (garden pea). RNAcentral's name for it is "Pisum sativum (pea) long non-coding RNA (PSAT_LNC008247)". Lineage: Eukaryota; Viridiplantae; Streptophyta; Magnoliopsida; Fabales; Fabaceae. The record is from RNAcentral.